This 942-nucleotide ribosomal RNA is filed under the name uncultured crenarchaeote. RNAcentral describes it as "bacterial SSU rRNA". It matches the Rfam family "Archaeal small subunit ribosomal RNA", at positions 1 to 922 of the family's 1478-position model. The record is from RNAcentral. Lineage: Archaea; Thermoproteati; Thermoproteota.
UUCCGGUUGAUCUUGCCGGACCCCACUGCUAUCGGGAUAGGACUAAGACAUGCUAGUCGAGCGCUUCAGCCAAAACGAGGCGCGGCAUACAGCUCAGUAACACGUGGCUAAUCUGCCCUUAGGACAGGAACAACCCCGGGAAACUGGGGCUAAUUCUCAAUAGGCGAAGAACUCUGGAAUGAGUCUUCACCAGAAAAGAGCCUGCGUUAUGCUCGUAGGUUUCGCCUAAGGAUGAGGCCGCGACCGAUCAGGUUGUUGGUGAGGUAAUGGCUCACCAAGCCUUUUACCGGUGCGGGCCGUGAGAGCGGGAGCCCGGAGAUGGGCACUGAGACAAGGGCCCAGGCCCUACGGGGCGCAGCAGUCGCGAAAACUUUGCAAUACACGCAAGUGUGACAGGGCUAUCCCGAGUGCCAUCCGCUGAGGAAGGCUUUUACCCAGUCUAGAAAGCUGGGGGAAUAAGGAGAGGGCAAGUCUGGUGUCAGCCGCCGCGGUAAUACCAGCUCUCCGAGUGGUGUGGAUGUUUAUUGGGCCUAAAGCAUCCGUAGCUGGCUAGGUCAGUCCCUUGUUAAAUCCACCGAAUUAAUCGUUGGAUUGCGGGGGAUACUGCCUGGCUAGGGAACGAGAGAGGCAGACGGUAUUUUCGGGGUAGGGGUGAAAUCCUAUAAUCCCGGGAAGACCACCAGUGGCGAAGGCUGUCUGCUAGAACGCGUCCGACGGUGAGGGAUGAAAGCUGGGGGAGCGAACCGGAUUAGAUACCCGGGUAGUCCCAGCUGUAAACGAUGCAGGCUAGGUGUUUGGACGGCCACGUGCCGUUCUAGUGCCGCAGGGAAGCUGUUAAGCCUGCCGCCUGGGGAGUACGAUCGCAAGAUUGAAACUUAAAGGAAUUGGCGGGGGAGCACCGCAAGGGGUGAAGCUUGCGGUUUAAUUGGAUUCAACGCCGGG